This 378-nucleotide ribosomal RNA is filed under the name uncultured eukaryote. Its description in RNAcentral is "partial 18S ribosomal RNA". It matches the Rfam family "Eukaryotic small subunit ribosomal RNA", at positions 592 to 975 of the family's 1831-position model. The record is from RNAcentral.
CAAUAGCGUAUAUUUAAGUUGUUGCAGUUAAAAAGCUCGUAGUUGGAUUUCGGAUGGGACUUGCCGGUCCGUCGUUUCGAUGUGCACUGGCCAGUCCUAUCUUGUUGUCGGGGACUAGCUCCUGGGCUUCACUGUCCGGGACUAGGAGCUGACGAGGUUACUUUGAGUAAAUUAGAGUGUUCAAAGCAAGCCUACGCUCUGAAUACAUUAGCAUGGAAUAACACGAUAGGACUCUGGCUUAUCUUGUUGGUCUGUGGGACCAGAGUAAUGAUUAAGAGGGACAGUCGGGGGCAUUCGUAUUUCAUUGUCAGAGGUGAAAUUCUUGGAUUUAUGAAAGACGAACUUCUGCGAAAGCAUUUGUCAAGGAUGUUUNCAUUA